Molecule: long non-coding RNA, 213 nt
Filed under: Manihot esculenta (cassava)
Lineage: Eukaryota; Viridiplantae; Streptophyta; Magnoliopsida; Malpighiales; Euphorbiaceae
Description: long non-coding RNA (MESC_LNC012873)
Source: RNAcentral
UGUAGAUAACGUAGGCACGUGAAGUUCAUCAGAGGUCUACAUCAGAUACCAAGGCCAUUAUCAUAGCUGGUUGUUUUGAGUCUCUGAGUCAUAGUGCAGUUAUAAUUUGGCAUGUACAUAUUUAAUAGAGUGAGUUGUAAAGGUUAUGUAAUCAAAGAAUAGUAAGAUGUCAAAUAUCAGUUGAUAAUUUUUCAUGUGUUUUUCAUGUGCUAC